RNAcentral lists this ribosomal RNA (449 nucleotides) under uncultured bacterium. Its description in RNAcentral is "bacterial SSU rRNA". It matches the Rfam family "Bacterial small subunit ribosomal RNA", at positions 32 to 492 of the family's 1533-position model. The record is from RNAcentral.
AAUCAACGCUGGCGGCGUGCCUCAGACAUGCAAGUCGAACGAUUAAAGCUCUCUUCGGAGAGUGCAUAGAGUGGCGCACGGGUGAGUAACACGUAAGUAAUCUACCUUCGAGUGGGGAAUAACGUCCGGAAACGGACGCUAAAUACCGCAUAAUGCAGCGGCAUCGUAAGAUGACAGUUGUUAAAGAUUUAUCGCUUGAAGAGGAGCUUGCGGCAGAUUAGCUAGUUGGUAAGGUAAUGGCUUACCAAGGCUACGAUCUGUAACCGGUCUUAGAGGACGGUCGGUCACACUGACACUGAAUAACGGGUCAGACUCCUACGGAGGCAGCAGUCGGGAAUUUUGGGCAAUGGGCGAAAGCCUGACCCAGCAACGCCGCGUGAAGGAUGAAGUAUUUCGGUAUGUAAACUUCGAAGAAUAGGAAGAAUAAAUGACGGUACUAUUUAUAAGGU